CCAGUGCUCAGAGCUGGACACACCUCCUUCCUGCCUCCCCCUGCCAUGGGCUACACAGUGCUCUCCUGUGUGUUUUUAUGUUUCCUGGGAACAGGGUCCAUGGAUUCUGGCGUUACUCAGACCCCAAGGAAAAGGAUCACAAAGACAGGAAAGAGCACCGUGCUGGAAUGUUCUCAGUCUAAGGGUCAUGACCGAAUGUACUGGUAUCGACAAGAUCCAGGGCAGGGUCUACUGCUGAUCUACUUCUCCAUUGGUGUCAAUGACAUUAGCCAAGGAGAGGUCUCCAAUGGGUACAGUGCCUCUCGGACAGAGAAGCCUAAAUUCUCCCUGACUGUAGAGACUGCCACCCUCAACCAGACAGCUCUUUACUUCUGUGCCAGCUCUCCUUUACACGGUGUGUCUGGGCCACCUGCUCUCUGCACAGAAAGACAGGCACAUGGGUGAGUUAUUUGGUCAGAAGAGCACAGAGGCCUUCCUGAUUGUGGGCUGUGGGAUACUCUGAGCUUGAAUGGUCCUAUUGAGUGUGAGCCCCCAAUUGAGCUUAGGACCACUUUGGGUCAAUGUCACCAGGUGAGAUAAUGACUCUGAAGCCACAGGCUACACUGGAUCUGUCUUCACUGCCUAUUCUAUCUAUC
This is a non-coding RNA of Marmota monax (woodchuck), 635 nucleotides long. The record is from the annotation of a RefSeq genome assembly. NCBI's taxonomy places the organism in Eukaryota, Metazoa, Chordata, Mammalia, Rodentia, Sciuridae.